This 77-nucleotide transfer RNA is filed under the name Candidatus Freyarchaeota archaeon. Its description in RNAcentral is "tRNA-Pro". It matches the Rfam family "tRNA". From Rfam's summary of the family: Transfer RNA (tRNA) molecules are approximately 80 nucleotides in length. Their secondary structure includes four short double-helical elements and three loops (D, anti-codon, and T loops). Further hydrogen bonds mediate the characteristic L-shaped molecular structure. tRNAs have two regions of fundamental functional importance: the anti-codon, which is responsible for specific mRNA codon recognition, and the 3' end, to which the tRNAs corresponding amino acid is attached (by aminoacyl-tRNA synthetases). tRNAs cope with the degeneracy of the genetic code in two manners: having more than one tRNA (with a specific anti-codon) for a particular amino acid; and 'wobble' base-pairing, i.e. permitting non-standard base-pairing at the 3rd anti-codon position. RNAcentral also lists the same sequence under 1 other name. Lineage: Archaea; Promethearchaeati; Candidatus Freyarchaeota. The record is from RNAcentral.
GGGUGGGUAGUCUAGCUUGGUAUGAUUCGAGAUUUGGGAUCUCGAGGUCAGGGGUUCAAAUCCUCUCCCACCCACCA